This 251-nucleotide ribosomal RNA is filed under the name uncultured bacterium. RNAcentral describes it as "partial 16S ribosomal RNA". It matches the Rfam family "Bacterial small subunit ribosomal RNA", at positions 530 to 776 of the family's 1533-position model. The record is from RNAcentral.
CCGAGCGAACGUUGUUCGGAAUCACUGGGCUUAAAGGGGCGCGAUAGGCGGGCUGCCGCGUCCGGGGUGAAAUCCCACGGCUCAACCGUGGAACGGCCCCGGGUACGGGCGGCCUCGAGGAAGGUAGGGGCGUGCGGAACUGUGGGUGGAGCGGUGAAAUGCGUUGAUAUCCAACAGGAACUCCGGUGGCGAAGGCGGCACGCUGGACCGUUUUCUGACGCUGAGGCGCGAAAGCCAGGGGAGCGAACGGG